This 212-nucleotide unclassified non-coding RNA is filed under the name soil metagenome. RNAcentral describes it as "partial contains 5.8S ribosomal RNA, internal transcribed spacer 2, and large subunit ribosomal RNA". The record is from RNAcentral.
AACAAGGCGUACCUGCGGACCUGCGGAGGGAUCAUUACGAGUGACCCCGGUCUAACCACCGGGAUGUUCAUAACCCUUUGUUGUCCGACUCUGUUGCCUCCGGGGCGACCCUGCCUUCGGGCGGGGGCUCCGGGUGGACACUUCAAACUCUUGCGUAACUUUGCAGUCUGAGUAAACUUAAUUAAUAAAUUAAAACUUUUAACAAUGGAUCU